UACGUAUGGUGCAAGCGUUAUCCGGAUUUACUGGGUGUAAAGGGAGCGCAGGCGGCACGGCAAGCCUGAUGUGAAAGCCCGCGGCCCAACCGCGGGACUGCAUUGGGAACUACCGGGCUGGAGUGCCGGAGAGGUAGGCGGAAUUCCUAGUGUAGCGGUGAAAUGCGUAGAUAUUAGGAGGAACACCAGUGGCGAAGGCGGCCUGCUGGACUACAACUGACGUUGAGGCUCGAAGGCGUGGGGAGCAAACAGG
Molecule: ribosomal RNA, 253 nt
Filed under: uncultured bacterium
Lineage: Bacteria
Description: partial 16S ribosomal RNA
Rfam family: Bacterial small subunit ribosomal RNA
Source: RNAcentral